Molecule: non-coding RNA, 28 nt
Filed under: Cricetulus griseus (Chinese hamster)
Lineage: Eukaryota; Metazoa; Chordata; Mammalia; Rodentia; Cricetidae
Source: RNAcentral
AGGAUCUGUGUAGAUUGUCAAGUUAGAG